RNAcentral lists this ribosomal RNA (497 nucleotides) under uncultured bacterium. RNAcentral describes it as "partial 16S ribosomal RNA". It matches the Rfam family "Bacterial small subunit ribosomal RNA", at positions 28 to 507 of the family's 1533-position model. The record is from RNAcentral.
GAUGAACGCUGGCGGCGUGCCUAAUACAUGCAAGUCGAGCGAACAGACGAGGAGCUUGCUCCUCUGACGUUAGCGGCGGACGGGUGAGUAACACGUGGAUAACCUACCUAUAAGACUGGGAUAACUUCGGGAAACCGGAGCUAAUACCGGAUAAUAUAUUGAACCGCAUGGUUCAAUAGUGAAAGACGGUUUUGCUGUCACUUAUAGAUGGAUCCGCGCCGCAUUAGCUAGUUGGUAAGGUAACGGCUUACCAAGGCAACGAUGCGUAGCCGACCUGAGAGGGUGAUCGGCCACACUGGAACUGAGAUACGGUCCAGACUCCUACGGGAGGCAGCAGUAGGGAAUCUUCCGCAAUGGGCGAAAGCCUGACGGAGCAACGCCGCGUGAGUGAUGAAGGUCUUCGGAUCGUAAAACUCUGUUAUUAGGGAAGAACAAAUGUGUAAGUAACUAUGCACGUCUUGACGGUACCUAAUCAGAAAGCCACGGCUAACUACGUG